This 711-nucleotide ribosomal RNA is filed under the name Salmonella enterica. Its description in RNAcentral is "partial 23S ribosomal RNA". It matches the Rfam family "Bacterial large subunit ribosomal RNA", at positions 1918 to 2628 of the family's 2925-position model. RNAcentral also lists the same sequence under 1 other name. The record is from RNAcentral. Lineage: Bacteria; Pseudomonadati; Pseudomonadota; Gammaproteobacteria; Enterobacterales; Enterobacteriaceae.
CCCCGGUAAACGGCGGCCGUAACUAUAACGGUCCUAAGGUAGCGAAAUUCCUUGUCGGGUAAGUUCCGACCUGCACGAAUGGCGUAAUGAUGGCCAGGCUGUCUCCACCCGAGACUCAGUGAAAUUGAACUCGCUGUGAAGAUGCAGUGUACCCGCGGCAAGACGGAAAGACCCCGUGAACCUUUACUAUAGCUUGACACUGAACAUUGAGCCUUGAUGUGUAGGAUAGGUGGGAGGCUUUGAAGUGUGGACGCCAGUCUGCAUGGAGCCGACCUUGAAAUACCACCCUUUAAUGUUUGAUGUUCUAACGUGGACCCGUAAUCCGGGUUGCGGACAGUGUCUGGUGGGUAGUUUGACUGGGGCGGUCUCCUCCUAAAGAGUAACGGAGGAGCACGAAGGUUGGCUAAUCCUGGUCGGACAUCAGGAGGUUAGUGCAAUGGCAUAAGCCAGCUUGACUGCGAGCGUGACGGCGCGAGCAGGUGCGAAAGCAGGUCAUAGUGAUCCGGUGGUUCUGAAUGGAAGGGCCAUCGCUCAACGGAUAAAAGGUACUCCGGGGAUAACAGGCUGAUACCGCCCAAGAGUUCAUAUCGACGGCGGUGUUUGGCACCUCGAUGUCGGCUCAUCACAUCCUGGGGCUGAAGUAGGUCCCAAGGGUAUGGCUGUUCGCCAUUUAAAGUGGUACGCGAGCUGGGUUUAGAACGUCGUGAGACA